CCUACGGGAGGCUGCAGUGGGGAAUAUUGCACAAUGGGGGAAACCCUGAUGCAGCGACGCCGCGUGAGUGAAGAAGUAAUUCGUUAUGUAAAGCUCUAUCAGCAGGGAAGAAAAUGACGGUACCUGAGUAAGAAGCCCCGGCUAACUACGUGCCAGCAGCCGCGGUAAUACGUAGGGGGCAAGCGUUAUCCGGAUUUACUGGGUGGAAAGGGAGCGUAGACGGCAGUGCAAGUCUGUAGUGAAAGGCGGGGGCUCAACCCCCGGACUGCUCUGGAAACUGUACGGCUGGAGUGCAGGAGAGGUAAGUGGAAUUCCUAGUGUAGCGGUGAAAUGCGUAGAUAUUAGGAGGAACACCAGUGGCGAAGGCGGCUUACUGGACUGUAACUGACGUUGAGGCUCGAAAGCGUGGGGAGCAAACAGGAUUAGAUACCCCAGUAGUC
This 440-nucleotide ribosomal RNA is filed under the name uncultured bacterium. RNAcentral describes it as "partial 16S ribosomal RNA". It matches the Rfam family "Bacterial small subunit ribosomal RNA", at positions 338 to 795 of the family's 1533-position model. The record is from RNAcentral.